Parasteatoda tepidariorum (common house spider) is the source of this 371-nucleotide non-coding RNA. NCBI's taxonomy places the organism in Eukaryota, Metazoa, Arthropoda, Arachnida, Araneae, Theridiidae. The record is from RefSeq and is a predicted model, not a curated record.
GCUACUGCUCCAGGAGGCGCUGGUGGAAUGAUCUUGCAACCCUUGUAUUCAGAGUGUGCCAUUUAUGGUAAAUUAAUGCACGAUAUGUUUGAAGAAAUGCGGAACGAUAACAGAAUUGGUCCAGAACAAUGUCAAUCAGGAUAUCAUACAGUAUGCAUGUCUGAAGAUAUGGAAAAAGGUUCGCUGUGCAGUAACUGAGCAAAUGCCCCAAAACUGUGUGGAUAAGAUUAUGGAAUUUGUACAAGGAAAUUCAUGUAACGGAAACGAAGUUUGAUGUGAUCGAAAUUUAAAUUAAAAAUAUAACUGUUGCCACCUUUUAUGAAGAAACAUGAAAUGUCGGUGAAAUAAAUAUAUUCAAUUAUAAAGUUCUA